RNAcentral lists this ribosomal RNA (254 nucleotides) under uncultured bacterium. Its description in RNAcentral is "partial 16S ribosomal RNA". It matches the Rfam family "Bacterial small subunit ribosomal RNA", at positions 524 to 776 of the family's 1533-position model. The record is from RNAcentral.
UACGGGGGGGGCAAGCGUUGUUCGGAUUUACUGGGCGUAAAGGGCGCGUAGGCGGCCAGCACAAGUCAGUUGUGAAAUCUCCGAGCUUAACUCGGAACGGUCAACUGAUACUGUGCGGCUAGAGUGCAGAAGGGGCAACUGGAAUUCUUGGUGUAGCGGUGAAAUGCGUAGAUAUCAAGAGGAACACCUGCGGCGAAGGCGGGUUGCUGGGCUGACGCUGACGCUGAGGCGCGAAAGCUAGGGGAGCGAACGGG